GCCGAUGAAGGACGUUACUAACGACGAUAUGCUUUGGGGAGCUGUAAGUAAGCUUUGAUCCAGAGAUUUCCGAAUGGGGAAACCCAGCAUGAGUUAUGUCAUGUUAUCGAUAUGUGAAUACAUAGCAUAUCAGAAGGCACACCCGGAGAACUGAAACAUCUUAGUACCCGGAGGAAGAGAAAGAAAAUUCGAUUCCCUUAGUAGCGGCGAGCGAAACGGGAAGAGCCCAAACCAACAAGCUUGCUUGUUGGGGUUGUAGGACACUCUAUACGGAGUUACAAAGGACGACAUUAGACGAAUCAUCUGGAAAGAUGAAUCAAAGAAGGUAAUAAUCCUGUAGUCGAAAAUGUUGUCUCUCUUGAGUGGAUCCUGAGUACGACGGAGCACGUGAAAUUCCGUCGGAAUCUGGGAGGACCAUCUCCUAAGGCUAAAUACUCUCUAGUGACCGAUAGUGAACCAGUACCGUGAGGGAAAGGUGAAAAGCACCCCGGAAGGGGAGUGAAAUAGAACCUGAAACCGUGUGCUUACAAGUAGUCAGAGCCCGUUAAUGGGUGAUGGCGUGCCUUUUGUAGAAUGAACCGGCGAGUUACGAUUUGAUGCAAGGUUAAGCAGUAAAUGUGGAGCCGUAGCGAAAGCGAGUCUGAAUAGGGCGUUUAGUAUUUGGUCGUAGACCCGAAACCAGGUGAUCUACCCUUGGUCAGGUUGAAGUUCAGGUAACACUGAAUGGAGGACCGAACCGACUUACGUUGAAAAGUGAGCGGAUGAACUGAGGGUAGCGGAGAAAUUCCAAUCGAACCUGGAGAUAGCUGGUUCUCUCCGAAAUAGCUUUAGGGCUAGCCUCAAGUGAUGAUUAUUGGAGGUAGAGCACUGUUUGGACGAGGGGCCCCUCUCGGGUUACCGAAUUCAGACAAACUCCGAAUGCCAAUUAAUUUAACUUGGGAGUCAGAACAUGGGUGAUAAGGUCCGUGUUCGAAAGGGAAACAGCCCAGACCACCAGCUAAGGUCCCAAAAUAUAUGUUAAGUGGAAAAGGAUGUGGCGUUGCCCAGACAACUAGGAUGUUGGCUUAGAAGCAGCCAUCAUUUAAAGAGUGCGUAAUAGCUCACUAGUCGAGUGACACUGCGCCGAAAAUGUACCGGGGCUAAACAUAUUACCGAAGCUGUGGAUUGUCCUUUGGACAAUGGUAGGAGAGCGUUCUAAGGGCGUUGAAGCAUGAUCGUAAGGACAUGUGGAGCGCUUAGAAGUGAGAAUGCCGGUGUGAGUAGCGAAAGACGGGUGAGAAUCCCGUCCACCGAUUGACUAAGGUUUCCAGAGGAAGGCUCGUCCGCUCUGGGUUAGUCGGGUCCUAAGCUGAGGCCGACAGGCGUAGGCGAUGGAUAACAGGUUGAUAUUCCUGUACCACCUAUAAUCGUUUUAAUCGAUGGGGGGACGCAGUAGGAUAGGCGAAGCGUGCGAUUGGAUUGCACGUCUAAGCAGUAAGGCUGAGUAUUAGGCAAAUCCGGUACUCGUUAAGGCUGAGC
Molecule: ribosomal RNA, 1518 nt
Filed under: Staphylococcus aureus
Lineage: Bacteria; Bacillati; Bacillota; Bacilli; Caryophanales; Staphylococcaceae
Description: partial 23S ribosomal RNA
Rfam family: Bacterial large subunit ribosomal RNA
Source: RNAcentral